UAUAAGUAGACUUUUUGCUCUGGAAUGAUUUUAUAUUCAAAGGAGAGCUGUAAAGACAGUAGAGUUCCUGCACAUUGCUGACCCUCGUGGCUCCCAUGCACCAACUUACUGAAGCGUGGUGACACUGCCACACGCAGAAAUUAACAUGGGCACAUUGCUUUAUUCAGGAGUCACCAGUUUCCUGCUUUGCUCUUUUUUCUGUUCCAGGACCCCAGGCAGGAUCCCCCGGCACUGUGUCCUCUGGCCUCCCUGUCUCUGGUCUGACCGUUCUCAUGAUGGGCCAUGCUGAGAACUACUAGUGAGUACUUGGCACAUAUCCCCUGGCCUGGGUUUGUCUGAUGCUUGGUUGGACCAGGGCAUGAAGGGCGGAGCACAGUGCCUCUUCAUGGUGUUGGGCCAACAGCCUGUGACAGCUAACCCUGCCUCAACCAGGGGACAAGGCUACCUUUGUGUGGCAUAUAGGAGAGCAUAUUCAUUUUAUAGAAUGGUGGGGUUUGCUUUUGUGUUUGAAUGUUGUCACACGUUGGAUUGUCACCAGCCCAUGAAAUAACUAGAAGUUACGAUUCCA
This 568-nucleotide long non-coding RNA is filed under the name Marmota monax (woodchuck). Lineage: Eukaryota; Metazoa; Chordata; Mammalia; Rodentia; Sciuridae. The record is from RNAcentral.